UACGUAGGGUCCGAGCGUUGUCCGGAAUUACUGGGCGUAAAGAGCUCGUAGGUGGUUUGUCGCGUUGUUCGUGAAAACUCACAGCUCAACUGUGGGCGUGCGGGCGAUACGGGCAGACUUGAGUACUGCAGGGGAGACUGGAAUUCCUGGUGUAGCGGUGAAAUGCGCAGAUAUCAGGAGGAACACCAGCGGCGAAGGCGGUGCUCUGGGCCGGAACUGACGCUGAGGAGCGAAAGCGUGGGGAGCGAACAGG
This 253-nucleotide ribosomal RNA is filed under the name uncultured bacterium. Its description in RNAcentral is "partial 16S ribosomal RNA". It matches the Rfam family "Bacterial small subunit ribosomal RNA", at positions 524 to 776 of the family's 1533-position model. The record is from RNAcentral.